GACGAGCGCUGGCGGCGUGCUUAACACAUGCAAGUCGAACGGAAAGGCCUGCUUUCCCUUGUGGAUUGCGGGUACUCGAGUGGCGAACGGGUGAGUAACACGUGAGUGAUCUGCCCCCAACUUGGGUAUAAGCCCGGGAAACUGGGUCUAAUUCCCGAUAGGACUGCAGGGUGGUGCCUGUGGUGGAAAACGAUUUUCUAGUGGUUGGGGAUGAGCUCGCGGCCUAUCAGCUUGUUGGUGGGGUAAUGGCCUACCAAGGCGGCGAUGGGUAGCCGGCCUGGGAGGGUGGACGGCCACAUUGGGACUGAGAUACGGGCAAGACUCCUACGGGAGGCAGCAGUGGGGAAUAUUGAACGAUGGGCGGAAGCCUGAUGCAGCGACGCCGCGUGGGGGAUGACGGCCUUCGGGUUGUAAACUCCUUUCGACCGCGAGGAAGCCACCUGGUUGGAAGGGUGGUGACGGUAGUGGUAGAAGAAGCACCGGCUAACUACGUG
RNAcentral lists this ribosomal RNA (494 nucleotides) under uncultured bacterium. RNAcentral describes it as "partial 16S ribosomal RNA". It matches the Rfam family "Bacterial small subunit ribosomal RNA", at positions 28 to 507 of the family's 1533-position model. The record is from RNAcentral.